This 440-nucleotide ribosomal RNA is filed under the name uncultured bacterium. RNAcentral describes it as "partial 16S ribosomal RNA". It matches the Rfam family "Bacterial small subunit ribosomal RNA", at positions 338 to 795 of the family's 1533-position model. The record is from RNAcentral.
CCUACGGGUGGCAGCAGUGGGGAAUAUUGCACAAUGGGGGAAACCCUGAUGCAGCGACGCCGCGUGAAGGAAGAAGUAUUUCGGUAUGUAAACUUCUAUCAGCAGGGAAGAAAAUGACGGUACCUGACUAAGAAACCCCGGCUAACUACGUGCCAGCAGCCGCGGUAAUACGGAGGGGGCAAGCGUUAUCCGGAUUUACUGGGUGUAAAGGGAGCGUAGGCGGGGCAGUAAGUCAGAAGUGAAAGGCCGGGGCGCAACUUCUGGACUGCUUUUGAAACUGGUGAACUUGAAUGCAGGAGAGGUAAGUGGAAUUCCUGGUGUAGCGGUGAAAUGCGUAGAUAUUAGGAGGAACACCAGUGGCGAAGGCGGCUUACUGGACUGUAAAUGACGCUGAGGAUCGAAAGCGUGGGGAGCAAACGGGAUUAGAUACCCGGGUAGUC